UAUUUUCGUCCUCCCUCCCACCUCCCACGUCCCAGCGAUUCCCCUUGGACCCGCGAACUAACAAAAAAAAUAGCUAUGCACCCACGAUUUCCAGCGACAAACCUCCUGUCAAUCGAGAAAAAAAUGGUGUGAAAAAAUCUACAAAAAUUAACCUAUGAAAAUUAACCAGACGCUCGCCCGUAUGAGCGAUUUCUCGUGCCCUCGAAGCACUCGCACGCAUGAGUCGUUCGCCGCACGCAGUGAAAAAAACAGCCAGCGAGGCUCCCCUCGAUCUAUUUCCUACGAUCUCUCAAGGACGCCCCAGCCCCCGAGACGAGCCGCCGCCGAGAUCCGAGACGAUCCGCCGCCGCCGAGGACCGAGUGGAGCCGCCGCCUCCACGUCGCCGCCGCCGGCGCUGGCCAGGCUCCCCACCGAUGGGCGCGCCGGGUCGCCGCUCCUCGAGGCCAGUUCCCCUCGCUGCUCCAGAUCGCGCCUCGGUUUGUGAUCCCUUGGGGAUCCUGCCGGUCCGCCGCCGCCGAGGACUGAGUGGAGACGUCGCCUGCACGUUGCCGCCGCCGGCGCUGGCCAGGCUCCCCACCGAUGGGCGCGCCGGGUCACCGCUCCUCGAGGCCAGUUCCCCUCGCUGCUCCAGAUCGCGCCUCGGUUUGUAAUCCCUUGGGGAUCCUACCGGUGCUGGAGGCGUCCACGAUGGUGCGAACUCAGGACCGAGCGGUGGGGCACGUCAUGCGUUCUGGUUGAGAGAUUGGUCGGGCUGGCGUGGGAACUGAACUGCCGUCGAUGGAUUUUUUGGUAGCUUGGCUGCAUGUUGCUUCAGAUUUAGUACUACCCCCAUCUCUCUCUCUCUCUCUGUUUGUGUGUGUGUGUGUGUGGGCGCGCGCGCGAAGCAGUCGAUCUCUAAUUGCCGACUGCCGACUCAUCGCCCCAAUGGCCGUCGCAUCAGUUCCAUACCGCUACAGCACUGCCAGCCACCGUUGUUGUAUUGCCUUGGAUUCAGUUGUGGCUUCGGCUGGAACUGUACGGUGUUGUCUGAUGCCCUGGUCCAAGCGGGUUUGGUCCGCUGAUGCCAGGUAUGCGAUGCUCUUGAGCCUGGGUACAUUAUGCAGCAAAAGAUGUGAGUGUUGGGCUUGACAUGAAGACAAAACUGAGUCCUCUUUUGCUACACUACAUAUACUCAAUGUUUCACAGUUGAGUUGCGUUUUGUUUUGGAUUUGGUACAAUCGUCAUCACACUCUCUUUCUCAAACACUAAACCAAAUCAGUUGCAUUACAUUUUACCUCAAAUCUUUGUCUGCGGUCACUUAUAGGAUUAGAAGUUUGAAUGAGCACAAUCUCAUUAAUUGAAUUUGUACCAAACUUGAUCGGUAACUUUAUUUUAAUAUUUUGCUGGCCGUCAUUUGCUCUAUUUGUUUAUUUAUUUUUCCUAGCAACUAUGUGCUGUUACAAGCUUCAUUCUGAAUUUUGAUGUAAAUCUCCUGUUCCCAGGUCCACCAUGACAUCAAUGCAUCAUUGUCCCGCUAUUUCAUUACACGGGAGACUAAUCAUAAUUUACUGGCAAUCAGCUAAUCAGUGACUGUGGUGAUGUUCUCAUCAUCAAGGCACUGCAAAUAGGUGUUCGUGUAAUUAAAUUAGACAUGUGGCCAAAUUCUUCUAAAGAUGACACUGAUAUUCUCCAUGAAAGUACUGAAUAUGACUUCCGCUGACAGUACUCAUAUUUAUGCUUCCGUUACUGAAAUCUUCGUGAGUGUGGAUCCUAUAUGAUUCUCUUCAUAUAAAAUACUACUAUUUUGGGAAAGGCAUCUAGCUGAGUUUUAAUAGAACUCUUCAGUGAAAAAUAUUUCUAACGGUGUUAGAACGACAACUGACAAGGACUGCCACGAUUAGAGCUACCAUUUGGCCCCAUGUUUCAGUAUGCAGUCAAGCAUGCAAUAAAGGUAAUGACGGGGCAUUUUGUAGUUUCGGGUAGUGCAUGUAGUUUUGGCCAAAUUGUAUGUUACAGUUAACAUCGUAGGAGAUUGGAAUUCUGAAUUUGGAUGCUUCAAUGCAGAUCAAAGAAGUAGAAUACUCCCUCCGAUCCAAAUUACUUGUCGUUGAAAUAGAUGCAUCUAUAAUUGACAUACAUCUAAGAUACAUCCAUUUCAGCAACAAGUAAUACAGAUUGGAGGGAGUAUCAAUUUUGCUGUGUUGAAGUCGUUAUGGAGGUGACAAGGAAUCUAUAUUGCUCUGUAGAUGACGACAUUGUGCAUUGCAAUAUAUAUUGCCCUGUAGAAAAAUACAUUUAUGUGGAGUAUGCUUCAGGUAAUUCACCAAUGCAUUUGUUUCAUCAUUUCUUUUUGACUAUUAACUGCGUGAGCAAGUGUCUAAUAAUAGAAAAGUUCCCCAUUGGGUCGCUACUACAACUAAAUGGGCUUGUGAAUAGUUGUAGAACGUACUCUAUUUUGUUCCCCAUUGAAGGGCAAUGUUCCUGUUGGUCUCUCGAAAGAACUGAAAGAAAUGCAGCCUUGACAAUUGAAUGCCCACAUUCCUUGUUGGAGAUCAUAGAGCUAUAUACAUUCAUGAGUUAUUAUGUUGAUGCACACUGCAUUGCAUUUACUAAACUUGUUUUCUUCUUACCAGAUUCAGUGGUAAUGUAAUUUUGGUCGGGCAGGGGUUUGUGAAGAAAACUAGCAAGGUUCAUAGAUGCACCCAGGUGGAAUACUUACUUUCCAAAUGUCAAGUAUUUUUAAAAAAUUAGACAUAUAAAUGUCUGAGUCCUUUGUGUGCUUGUCAAAUAUCAUGCAAAAAUGAUAAGGAGGACGAGGUUAUGAGGUAAUGUGCUCGGGCGGGAGGAAGAGGUACUGGUUCAACCCAUGAAAGUUCUUAGCUCAUAAUUGCUACCAAUUCUACAGAAAAGGCUGUGAUUUUGUUAACCUAACUAGAGCUUUCAUGUUAUGUCAGUCCUUUAUUUAGAUGAUUUAGCUGUUGACCUACCAUUCCUUUCUAGAUGAUUACUUGCAGUUCUUUUACUAAGGCAGUGCAUCUAGGGUUUCUUUACUUGCUCACUGACCAUUCAGUUCAAUGACGGCCAAUGCGGUAGAAUCGAGGCUACAACUCUGGCACUUCAAAGAGGAAAAGAAAACAUGACUACUUCAUGGCGAGAGAAGAGGAGGGCAGCGAGGAGCGAACAUGGGGAUGGGUGGCUGGGGCGUUUCUUGCACGAGGAUGGGGAAAUUGGAGUUAUCCAAGACCGGAAAUGUCCCUGUUGCUCUUAGGAAUGAUACUUUAUUUUUCAGUCAUUUGUUUUUUCCACUCAAUCACGGUUCACUGUUACUCCAAGUAAGAACUGCGAUUUUGCAAAGAGUAAGCCAUUUCUUGUGAAUCUUGUAAGUUUCUGCAUUUUGUAGUUCAAGAGCUCCUGGUUUGCUUUGGCCUCGAUCCAAACACGCUGUUAGAUUUUCAGUCCAUGGGCUCGAUAAAUCGAGAUCGAGAUCGAGAGACGUCAUAGACUUUCAACCCAUGGCCUCAGUAGAUCGCAGUUCAAUGGGGAGAGUAGUUAGGUGGCGGCGGCGGCUCCGGAGCACGAGUGCGACAGCGGCUACAGAGCAUGAGCGGGCAUGGACUGGGGACUAGAACAUGGAUGUGGAAGCUGGAGCGACAUCUAUGGUGCGACACCGUGUGGCGGUUGUCCGAGGUGUUGUCGAUGUGGAGCGGUGCCAUUUGGAGUGAAGCCUAGCAGCCUAAGAUGGCAGGCUGGUGUCAAUGCCGCUAGGGGUGGUGCCGAUUGAGGCGCUGAGACGAGGUAGCGAUGUAGGGGUCGAGAGUAGCUGCUGUAUGUGUGUGUCCCCUCCAUUGAUUUGUGACCAAGCCCACGGGAAAUCUAGCCAGCAACUGGUCAUGUCUUUCUGAAUUGUGGAGUCUUUCGCUGAGGCCAUGCAUUGAGAAGGUGAUCUUCUGAUGCAUCUAUCAUCUAUGGGCUAAAAAUUUGAAUUAUCAACAAGUAUGGUGAUAGCCAGCGUUACUGUGAUCUCCAAAGAACAAUAACUAUGCAACAUAGUGCUGAACUUUGACAUUUUCGUUCUGUUAUAAGUUUCCUUUUAAUAUUUCAUAAUUUAUAUUUAAUUAAUCUUUCUAUUAAUAUUUGGUUUCACUAUAGUAAAUUUAUUUGAAGGUCUCCAUGAUGGCAUAAUUCUAUGUAGACUGAUGUGUCGAUUAUUUUGGCAUGCAUUUAUUUGCCCAACAUUACCUAGAUACUUAGUGCCAUUACAAUGACAUCCUGUUUUAUUUCAAAAAGUGAUUGCUCCAUCACAUACACAUUAAAAGAAAUUGCACAACUGCACCAUGGCUAUCCAGUAUAUCAAGGAAGAUUAAUCUAAACAUACCUUACAGCUUCUCAUUACUCCCGUCGAAGUAAUCUAAACAUGUUCUUAAUGGCGACAAAUUUGAGCAGAAGAUAUUCUUAAUGGCAACAAGUAACUAAUUCUUUCGUUUCUAUGGAAUAUGUAAAUUCAUAUGCAGGUAAGCAGGUUAAUCUAAACAUGCCUUACAGUAUCCCAUUACUCUUGUUGAAGUUUUAUACUGUUAGAUUUCACCUUUGUUUGUAUUAAAUAUCUGAAGUAACGGAGCUUGAUUUUCAGUUUU
This is a long non-coding RNA of Triticum aestivum (bread wheat), 4614 nucleotides long. RefSeq lists it as uncharacterized. The transcript is spliced from 2 exons. The record is from RefSeq and is a predicted model, not a curated record. NCBI's taxonomy places the organism in Eukaryota, Viridiplantae, Streptophyta, Magnoliopsida, Poales, Poaceae.